Molecule: microRNA precursor, 124 nt
Filed under: Brassica oleracea var. oleracea
Lineage: Eukaryota; Viridiplantae; Streptophyta; Magnoliopsida; Brassicales; Brassicaceae
Description: MIR9563 microRNA precursor family
Rfam family: MIR9563 microRNA precursor family
Source: Rfam by way of RNAcentral
GGAAUAUAAGAACCCGUCUCUUAACUUUUAAUUAAAAAACUAAAAACCGGUUCUUAAAUAAGAGUUUUAAGAGUCGGUUCUUAACUUUUUUAGUUAAAAGUUAAGAGACGAGUUCUUAUAUUCA